GCGAGCAUCCCUUUUCCAGUGGCAGCCAAGCUUAUCUACCCGCAAGCGCGAAAGAAAUGUGGCUAUUGCUAAUCUCAUACGUCGUAGUCAAUAUAUACUGCCAUAAUUAGCCACGCCUGGAUUUCCGUGGUUUAACUACAUCACCGUAUAACUUCCUUGGUCACAGAAAGGGAAGGACUGAGAGACCCACCCAUCAGUAACAGACGUGCCUAUUUAGAAGCUGUCUUAAAGGCUCCGCACUGCCUCCGUUGCAGACACAGACUGAAGAGAUGAAGAUGCAGAGGGUAUUGGCGUUGGUCAUUUUCACCAUUGCAAUAAUUACGACACAAUCUGCCCCCAUAGAAACAAAUGGUGAAAUAAACUUCCAGUCUUUUCUGAGUGAGGAGACGCAGUAUGUCAGCACAAGGCUGGUGCGCAGAAGAAGGGGAACAGAUCAGUCUCAAAGGAAUCCCUCGCGCGUCUGCUCCGGCUGCUACUCGGUCAUUGGCGACCCCACGACUAUAUGACCGUCACCGCAUUUAGGAGACAGUUUUCACCUUCCCGAGGCAAAUCAACAAAUGAUGAAUAACCAGCAACGCCUUGCCAAACAGCAAGACAAAAAGUACACUAAACCAAGGAACUAUCUGUAACUCCAGCCUUUUCUUCUUUUUUUUUACACUUGCUUGAAUUUAUAUCACAUGUAUGUAACAAUGUAAUGUUCAGCUUCUCUGUGUGUUUUGUACGAUUAAUGAAGGACUGUUUUAAUAUGAA
Long non-coding RNA from Esox lucius (northern pike), 750 nucleotides. RefSeq lists it as uncharacterized. The transcript has 4 exons. The record is from RefSeq and is a predicted model, not a curated record. Lineage: Eukaryota; Metazoa; Chordata; Actinopteri; Esociformes; Esocidae.